RNAcentral lists this ribosomal RNA (484 nucleotides) under uncultured bacterium. Its description in RNAcentral is "partial 16S ribosomal RNA". It matches the Rfam family "Bacterial small subunit ribosomal RNA", at positions 30 to 507 of the family's 1533-position model. The record is from RNAcentral.
AUUGAACGCUGGCGGCAGGCCUAACACAUGCAAGUCGAGCGGAUGAAGGGAGCUUGCUCCUGGAUUCAGCGGCGGACGGGUGUGUAAUGCCUAGGAAUCUGCCUGGUAGUGGGGGAUAACGUCCGGAAACGGGCGCUAAUACCGCAUACGUCCUGAGGGUGAAAGCGGGGGAUCUUCGGACCUCACGCUAUCAGCUGAGCCUAGGUCGGAUUAGCUAGUUGGUGGGGUAAAGGCCUACCAAGGCGACGAUCCGUAACUGGUCUGAGAGGAUGAUCAGUCACACUGGGACUGAGACACGGUCCAGACUCCUACGGGAGGCAGCAGUGGGGAAUAUUGGACAAUGAGCGAAAGCCUGAUCCAGACAUGCCGCGUGUGUGAAGAAGGUCUUCGGAUUGUAAAGCACUUUAAGUUGGGAGGAAGGGCAGUAAGUGAAUACCUUGCUGUUUUGACGUUACCAACAGAAUAAGCACCGGCUAACUUCGUG